UGUAUGUCAGGCGAGAAGCCAAGGAAACCACAGUAAAUGAGAAGGACGUGGUUUCUCUCCUCAUGGGCCUCAGAGUCAGUGAGAGAGGUAGACACUGGAAAAGGAAUUAUAGAAUUAAAUUAUGAAAUGUGCUCCAAGGAAAUACAGAAUGCUAGAACAAGGGAGGCCCUGGCUCAGUUUGGGAGAUCAGGGAAGGCUUCCCGAGGAGGUGAUAUUCA
Molecule: long non-coding RNA, 218 nt
Filed under: Homo sapiens (human)
Lineage: Eukaryota; Metazoa; Chordata; Mammalia; Primates; Hominidae
Description: non-protein coding lnc-CRYBA4-13:1
Source: RNAcentral